CCUACGGGUGGCUGCAGUGGGGAAUAUUGGACAAUGGGGGCAACCCUGAUCCAGCCAUGCCGCGUGUGUGAAGAAGGCCCUCGGGUUGUAAAGCACUUUCAGUGAGGAAGAACGCCUGGUGGUUAAUACCCAUCAGGAAAGACAUCACUCACAGAAGAAGCACCGGCUAACUCCGUGCCAGCAGCCGCGGUAAUACGGAGGGUGCGAGCGUUAAUCGGAAUUACUGGGCGUAAAGCGCGCGUAGGUGGCUUGAUAAGCCGGUUGUGAAAGCCCCGGGCUCAGCCUGGGAACGGCAUCCGGAACUGUCAAGCUAGAGUGCAGGAGAGGAAGGUAGAAUUCCCGGUGUAGCGGUGAAAUGCGUAGAGAUCGGGAGGAAUACCAGUGGCGAAGGCGGCCUUCUGGACUGACACUGACACUGAGGUGCGAAAGCGUGGGUAGCAAACAGGAUUAGAUACCCGAGUAGUC
This 465-nucleotide ribosomal RNA is filed under the name Vreelandella stevensii. RNAcentral describes it as "partial 16S ribosomal RNA". It matches the Rfam family "Bacterial small subunit ribosomal RNA", at positions 338 to 795 of the family's 1533-position model. Lineage: Bacteria; Pseudomonadati; Pseudomonadota; Gammaproteobacteria; Oceanospirillales; Halomonadaceae. The record is from RNAcentral.